This 253-nucleotide ribosomal RNA is filed under the name uncultured bacterium. RNAcentral describes it as "partial 16S ribosomal RNA". It matches the Rfam family "Bacterial small subunit ribosomal RNA", at positions 524 to 776 of the family's 1533-position model. The record is from RNAcentral.
UACGUAGGGGGCUAGCGUUGUCCGGAAUCAUUGGGCGUAAAGAGCGUGUAGGCGGCCCGGUAAGUCCGCUGUAAAAGUCAAAGGCUCAACCUUUGAAUGUCAGUGGAUACUGCCGGGCUAGAGUCCGGAAGAGGCGAGUGGAACUCCUGGUGUAGCGGUGGAAUGCGCAGAUAUCAGGAAGAACACCACCGGCGAAGGCAGCUCGCUAGGACGGUACUGACGCUGAGGAGCGAAAGCGUGGGUAGCAAACAGG